Molecule: long non-coding RNA, 908 nt
Organism: Malaya genurostris
Lineage: Eukaryota; Metazoa; Arthropoda; Insecta; Diptera; Culicidae
Exons: 3
Source: RefSeq, a predicted model, not a curated record
ACCAACACGCUAUUUGAACAUCUCUGUGAUGACAGUGUAAUAUUAACUCAUAUUGAAUAGCCACCACUUGUCAAACAAAAAGAUUGAUUGUUGUUGCUUUGUGCGCUUUUAUUGUUGCCUAUAAAAUGGAUUAUUGCAAAGUGAUUAAAAAAAGUGGAUUAUUUUAUUAUCGCCGCAAAAAGUUACUAGCUAAGUGGACGCAAGAGAACAAGUUUUUGUUUGCAGAAUCUCUUCCAAACAAUCAAAUGUCGAGAAUUACGGAGGAAAUGAUUAACGAUUCUACUCCAAAUGUGAGAGACGUAACAGAACAAUUCAUUACUGAAACUUCACAACACGUAUCUGAGUAUUUCAACACUGUGAACCAUAGUGGAGAUUUUUCUUUUGAUAACACCAACACUGAAGACGACUUUGAAAACUCGCUACAAUAUUAUGAUGAAAUUGAUGACAUGAGCCCUGAAAACCAAUCAGUCCCAUGAGUCAAUAAAUUUAAUAAUGGAUAUUAUAAAAAGAAAAACGGAUGGAAAACAAUUGCCUCGUUCUGCGAGAACUCUACUUAAAACAUCUCGAAAAGCAACAACGGACAUAAUUAACGUUGGAGGUGGCCACUGUAUAAUCGACUAUUUCCGUUAUGUUGUAUUGAGCACGCCAUCAGUAUUAAUAUCGAUGGUAUCCCCAUUUACAAAAACAGUAAAUCCCAAUUUUGGCCAAAUAUAUUUAACAUCUCCGAGUUUCCAGAAACAAGACCAAUGACAAUGACGCUCUGUUCUUUGGAAACUCAAAACCUGAGAGCCUAGAAGAAUUUUUAAGACCGUUGGUGAACGAACUUCAAGAUGUGUUGAUGCAUGGGAUUUCGGUUAAUAAUCACCAUAUAACAGUUAGAUUGAGAUGCUUCAUACGUGAUACAUCUG